Molecule: transfer RNA, 67 nt
Filed under: Pediopsoides anchorides
Lineage: Eukaryota; Metazoa; Arthropoda; Insecta; Hemiptera; Cicadellidae
Description: tRNA-Trp
Source: RNAcentral
UAAGACUUUAAGUUAACUAAACUAUUAGCCUUCAAAGUUAAAAAAAUCUAGACUGGAUAAGUCUUAG